Mycena olivaceomarginata is the source of this 81-nucleotide non-coding RNA. NCBI's taxonomy places the organism in Eukaryota, Fungi, Basidiomycota, Agaricomycetes, Agaricales, Mycenaceae. The record is from the annotation of a GenBank genome assembly.
GCAUUAAUGGGGUAGUGGUAACCUGGGUCGUUGCCAUUAUUGGAUCUCGACCCGCCGGGGGUUCGAUUCCCCCUUAAUGCA